GACGCUGGCGGCGUGCCUAACACAUGCAAGUCGAACGGGGUCCAUGGGAGCUUGCUCCCGGAAGACCUAGUGGCGAACGGGUGAGUAACACGUGAGAAACCUGCCCUGGAGUGGGGAAUAACUCGGGGAAACUCGAGCUAAUACCGCAUACCCUCGGAUGGUCGCAUGGCCGACCGAGGAAAGAUUCAUCGCUUCAGGAGGGUCUCGCGGCCUAUCAGCUAGUUGGUGGGGUAACGGCCUACCAAGGCAACGACGGGUAGCUGGUUUGAGAGAACGAUCAGCCACACUGGGACUGAGACACGGCCCAGACUCCUACGGGAGGCAGCAGUGGGGAAUCUUGCGCAAUGGGCGAAAGCCUGACGCAGCAACGCCGCGUGCGGGAUGACGGCCUUCGUGGUUGUAAACCGCUUUCAGCAGGGACGAAAAUGACGGUACCUGCAGAAGAAGCCCCGGCUAACUACGUG
This 464-nucleotide ribosomal RNA is filed under the name uncultured bacterium. RNAcentral describes it as "bacterial SSU rRNA". It matches the Rfam family "Bacterial small subunit ribosomal RNA", at positions 33 to 507 of the family's 1533-position model. The record is from RNAcentral.